This 412-nucleotide ribosomal RNA is filed under the name uncultured eukaryote. Its description in RNAcentral is "bacterial SSU rRNA". It matches the Rfam family "Eukaryotic small subunit ribosomal RNA", at positions 592 to 1018 of the family's 1831-position model. The record is from RNAcentral.
CAAUAGCGUAUAUUAAAGUUGUUGCGGUUAAAAAGCUCGUAGUUGGAUUUCUGUCCAGGCAGUGUUGAAUGGCCAGACGGCUCGUUUUUCCUGCUUGGUCUUCUUUCUUGCAGUGUGUCUCGAGAUUAAGUUGUCGAGGUGCGCAACAGAUCUUUUACUGUGAAUAAAUUCGAGUGCUCAAAGCAGGCUUUCAGCCUGAAGAUGUCAGCAUGGAAUAUUGGCAUGAUCUCGUCUAUGUUUUUGGUUGGUGGGUGAGGUAAUGAUAGAAAAAACAAUCGGGGGGAUUCGUAUUCAGUUGCCAGAGGUGAAAUUCUUGGAUUUUCUGAAGACGCACCAAGGCGAAAGCAUUUCCCAAGAAUGUUUUCUUUGAUCAAGAACGAAAGUUAGGGGAUCGAAGACGAUUAGAUACCAU